AGGACGAACGCUGGCGGCGUGCCUAACACAUGCAAGUCGAACGGGACCAGGGGCAACUCUGGUUCAGUGGCGGACGGGUGCGUAACACGUGAGGAACAUGACCCUUCGGCGGGGGAUAGCCGGCCCAACGGCCGGGUAAUACCGCGUACGACCACUUUGGGACAUCCCUCGGUGGUGAAAGCAGCAAUGCGCGAUGGAUGCCUCGCGGCCUAUCAGCUAGUUGGUGAGGUAACGCUCACCAAGGCGACGACGGGUA
Molecule: ribosomal RNA, 256 nt
Filed under: uncultured soil bacterium
Lineage: Bacteria
Description: partial 16S ribosomal RNA
Rfam family: Bacterial small subunit ribosomal RNA
Source: RNAcentral